GUCGAACGCAUCACUUCGGUGAUGAGUGGCGAACGUGUGAGUAAAAGAUAAGGAACCUGCCCUAGGCAGGGGGAUAACGACCGGAAACGGACGCUAAAACCGCAUAGGCUGGGAAUUCGCAUGAGGAUCCAGUUAAAUAUCCUUUAGGGGAUAGGCAAAGGAGGGACUUAUCACGCAUUAGCUAGUUGGUGGGGUAACGGCCUACCAAGGCGACGAUGCGUAGCCGGCCUGAGAGGGCGGACGGCCACACUGGGACUGAGACACGGCCCAGACUCCUACGGGAGGCAGCAGUAGGGAAUUUUCGGCAAUGGGCGAAAGCCUGACCGAGCAACGCCGCGUGAACGAAGAAGGUCUUCCGAUUGUAAAGUUCUGUUAUCCCCCCCCCCAAAAGUGUACGAAGGAAAUGGCGAACAAAAAAAAAAACUCUUUUUGGAAGCCACGGCGGGGGAAAAAAAACAGCCGCGGUAAUACGUAGGUGGCGAGCGUUAUCCGGAAUCAUUGGGCGUAAAGAGGGAGCAGGCGGCCUGGAGGGUCUAUUGUUAAAAGGCAAUGGCUUAACCAUUGUAACCCCAAGAAACCGGCAGGCUAGAGUUCUAAAGAGGAUCGUGGAAUUCCAUGUGUAGCGGUGAA
Molecule: ribosomal RNA, 630 nt
Filed under: uncultured bacterium
Lineage: Bacteria
Description: partial 16S ribosomal RNA
Rfam family: Bacterial small subunit ribosomal RNA
Source: RNAcentral